CUAGUACUCUCUCCGGCCGGAAAUACUUGUCAGAUAAAUAAAUGUAUCCAGAUGUACUUUCAUUCUCGAUACAUUCAUCUUUAUUCAUUUUUGCAAUAAGUAAUUUCAAACGGAGGGAGUAUUUU
Molecule: microRNA precursor, 125 nt
Filed under: Hordeum vulgare
Lineage: Eukaryota; Viridiplantae; Streptophyta; Magnoliopsida; Poales; Poaceae
Description: microRNA MIR1122
Rfam family: MIR1120/MIR1122 microRNA precursor family
Source: RNAcentral